RNAcentral lists this ribosomal RNA (500 nucleotides) under uncultured bacterium. Its description in RNAcentral is "partial 16S ribosomal RNA". It matches the Rfam family "Bacterial small subunit ribosomal RNA", at positions 30 to 523 of the family's 1533-position model. The record is from RNAcentral.
AUUGAACGCUGGCGGAAUGCUUUACACAUGCAAGUCGAACGGCAGCACGGGGGCAACCCUGGUGGCGAGUGGCGAACGGGUGAAUAAUACAUCGGAACGUGCCCAGUCGUGGGGGAUAACGUAGCGAAAGUUACGCUAAUACCGCAUACGAUCUACGGAUGAAAGCGGGGGACCGUAAGGCCUCGCGCGAUUGGAGCGGCCGAUGUCAGAUUAGGUAGUUGGUGAGGUAAAGGCUCACCAAGCCGACGAUCUGUAGCUGGUCUGAGAGGACGACCAGCCACACUGGGACUGAGACACGGCCCAGACUCCUACGGGAGGCAGCAGUGGGGAAUUUUGGACAAUGGGCGCAAGCCUGAUCCAGCCAUUCCGCGUGCAGGGCGAAGGCCUUCGGGUUGUAAACUGCUUUUGUACGGAACGAAAAGGCUCUGGUUAAUACCUGGGGCUCAUGACGGUACCGUAAGAAUAAGCACCGGCUAACUACGUGCCAGCCGCCGCAGUAA